This is a long non-coding RNA of Plodia interpunctella (Indianmeal moth), 466 nucleotides long. RefSeq lists it as uncharacterized. Lineage: Eukaryota; Metazoa; Arthropoda; Insecta; Lepidoptera; Pyralidae. The transcript has 3 exons. The record is from RefSeq and is a predicted model, not a curated record.
UGAUGUUUCACCAAUUCGUGACGGGUACGAGACGGAAUGAAAAGCUAUUCGCCCCGCGGAAGGGUUAAGGGGAAUAAAGUGGCCGAUGGUUAACUAUGGACGUGUUAUUAUGUGAAUCAAGUAUUUCAUUGACCGAGUGAGCGAAGCGAGCAAAGUCUACAAAUCAAAGGGGCAAAGAUAACUUUCGAACCGUUGGUCUGAUUUAGAUAAAAUGUAAAAGAGGUUUUUAGUUCCUGUCCGGGUGGUUUUCGGAUUGGUAUUGAAGUCAUCAAGAUAUACAGCAAUUAUCGCUAUUAAGAAGACUCAUCUUACGCAUCAACUAAAUACCGUCCAUAGAUAUGAACUAUGUAACAAUAAUGUAACAAAAUAUACAUAACAAAAUUUAAAAUAAAUCACAUAUUGAACUUGAUCGUACAGUAUUAUUUGCUUGUCUUGAGGUUAUCUCUUUCAUCAAUUCCGUGUAGCA